UCCUGAUCAGGUGAGAUCAGAAAGCUAACGUACCUUGCUCGAAUCCUCCGAAUGCAAAUCGCGGCGAAAAUUUGUGGAAAUCUCAAAUUCACGGUUCAACUUAACAGCUCCUCAUCGCCAAUUCAUCCGUAUUCGUGUGUUGUACGGAGGCGGAGUCGGAUUGGUGCACGUCGCGUAGAGAUGAAGAAUUUGAUUCCAUCUUCUGUUUUAAUCUUCUGUUGGACGAUUUGUGUGGCGAAGAAGAUGAAAAUACUGAAUCGCGACCGAACAGGUGUGGAUUACCGGAGAUUCGAGAUUCUGCGGAAAGGGAAGAGGAUGAUCUGAGCUUCGUGAAUGAUGAAGGAUUGAUUCUCUCAGUAUGGUUUCAUGUGAGGGAUUCGGAGAAAGUCGGAAUGGUGAUGGUUCUGGAGGAUUGAAGGUGAGGUUGCGGGAGAGAGAAAGAGAAAAGAAGUUCUGGAGGAAAUUGGAGAGAGGGAAGAAGAAGAUUCUAGAAAAAUUGGCGAGAGCAUUCCCAAGCUUGGAUUCGUCGGCUUAUGCUUGUGUUCACAUUUGUGUAUUGUAACUGCGUGAAGUUGUUUUGAAGCAUGGCUUAUUGUUUCUUGCAGCAGCGUUUGGAAGUGUGGUUUGGUGCAGUUCGCGUUUGGUACUCAGUAGCAGCUAAUGCCAUGUACUUCUACUGCAUUUUCAAUGUUUCGCAACUUAUGGUAGCUUUGGUGAAGUCAUGGCUUGCGUUUGGAGUUUGGAACACCUUUUAUAGCUGGAUUUAAAUUUGCAUUUGGCUGCGUGUUCGCGUUUAACUUUUCUUGGAGUCGUUUUUGGCCUAUGCAACAUUCCGUUUUAUUUGCCGCUUUUUGGAUUGUGUUUGUACGCCGUUUGCACGUUUGGAUCAUGGCUGCAGCGUUUAGAAAGCUGAGUUUUGUUGUACCUUAGCAGCUUGCGUUGUACUUGGCCUUGUUGUAGCAGGCUUAUACUUUUUCGCGCGGUAGCUGGUGCAUUUGGAUGCACUUUCUGUUUUUUCACUUUUCACGCUUGUAUUUCAAAUUACUCCACCUGCGUUUCACCACUGUACGGAUAAUACAUGAAAACAAGAUUUGAAUUGGCAUUUGGACUUGGAACAUGGUUUUUUUCUAAUGGAUUGUUUGGUUUAAAACUGGAUAUCUAAAUGGAUGAUUUGGAUGUGGUUAAUGAAUGAAUUAUCAAUGGAAUCUGGUUUGGUUUUGGAUUAGA
Long non-coding RNA from Lathyrus oleraceus (garden pea), 1227 nucleotides. RefSeq lists it as uncharacterized. The record is from RefSeq and is a predicted model, not a curated record. The transcript has 3 exons. Lineage: Eukaryota; Viridiplantae; Streptophyta; Magnoliopsida; Fabales; Fabaceae.